CCGUAGUAAUUCUAGAGCUAAUACAUGCAUAAAUACCCAACUGCUUGUCGGGCGGGUAGCAUUUAUUAGAUUGAAACCAAUGCAGUCUUCGGGCUGGUAUUGUGUUGAAUCAUAAUAACUGUGCGGAUCGCGCUUUUGCGCGAUAAAUCGAUUGAGUUUCUGCCCUAUCAGCUUUGGAUGGUAGGAUAUGGGCCUACCAUGGCAUUAACGGGUAACGGGGAAUUAGGGUUUGAUUCCGGAGAGGGAGCCUUAGAAACGGCUACCACAUCCAAGGAAGGCAGCAUGCGCGUAAAUUACCCAAUCCUGA
Molecule: non-coding RNA, 307 nt
Filed under: Plasmopara halstedii
Lineage: Eukaryota; Oomycota; Peronosporomycetes; Peronosporales; Peronosporaceae
Description: Eukaryotic small subunit ribosomal RNA
Rfam family: Eukaryotic small subunit ribosomal RNA
Source: Rfam by way of RNAcentral